RNAcentral lists this ribosomal RNA (830 nucleotides) under uncultured archaeon. Its description in RNAcentral is "bacterial SSU rRNA". It matches the Rfam family "Archaeal small subunit ribosomal RNA", at positions 21 to 859 of the family's 1478-position model. The record is from RNAcentral.
AGGUCACUGCUAUCGGGGUUCGAUUAAGCCAUGCGAGUCGAGAGGGUUCGGCCCUCGGCGUACUGCUCAGUAACACGUGGAUAACCUGCCCUAGGGAAGGGGAUAACCCCGGGAAACUGGGGAUAAUACCCUAUAGGUUACAGAUGCUGGAAUGCCCUGUAACCCAAAGUUCCGACGCCCUAGGAUGGAUCUGCGGCCGAUUAGGUUGUUGUUGGGGUAAUGGCCCAACAAGCCCGUAAUCGGUACGGGUUGUGGGAGCAAGAGCCCGGAGUUGGAUUCUGAGACACGAAUCCAGGCCCUACGGGGCGCAGCAGGCGCGAAAACUUUACAAUGCGGGCAACCGUGAUAAGGGAACCUCGAGUGCCUGUAAAUGCAGGCUGUUCAGGUGCCUAAAACACACCUGAAGAAAGGGCCGGGCAAGACCGGUGCCAGCCGCCGCGGUAAUACCGGCGGCUCGAGUGGUGGCCGCUUUUAUUGGGCUUAAAGCGUUCGUAGCUGGGUUGUUAAGUCUCUUGGGAAAUCUGGCGGCUUAACCGUCAGGCGUCUAAGGGAUACUGGCAAUCUUGGAACCGGGAGAGGUGAGGGGUACUUCGGGGGUAGGAGUGAAAUCCUGUAAUCCUCGAGGGACCACCUGUGGCGAAGGCGCCUCACCAGAACGGCUUCGACAGUGAGGGACGAAAGCUGGGGGAGCAAACCGGAUUAGAUACCCGGGUAGUCCCAGCCGUAAACUAUGCGCGUUAGGUGUAUCGGUGACCACGAGUUACCGAGGUGCCGAAGGGAAACCGUGAAACGUGCCGCCUGGGAAGUACGGUCGCAAGGCUGAAACUUAA